RNAcentral lists this long non-coding RNA (573 nucleotides) under Elaeis guineensis (African oil palm). RNAcentral describes it as "long non-coding RNA (EGUI_LNC028958)". The record is from RNAcentral. Lineage: Eukaryota; Viridiplantae; Streptophyta; Magnoliopsida; Arecales; Arecaceae.
GAUGUGCUUUGGGUCAUAAUGUAUGGGUAAUUUUGUUCCUCAGCUACUACCUUGUGUGUUGAGUUGCGAUACAGAUUAAUAGGGAGACUUUUUCCUUAAUAUUAUUCUUUCAACAUUCUUAUGAUAGGCCGUUGAAGUCCUUUAUGUUGCAGGUUGUGGGAAUGAAUAUGGAAACUUUUGUUGUUCCUUAGUAUGCUUUCUUUGACAUUUCUGUUUCUUUAUAUGACGGGGAUUUGCUGAUGUUAUUGUCCUCUCUUUUGGUUCAAGUGUUUGAUACUUGUAAGACUUUAUUAGCUGUUUGUUAACAUCAUUUGUUCAAUUUUGUUAUGAUAAAAUAUGUUGCUCUUCAUGUCCUUCAUUGUGCUUUGGGGUCGGCUAUGGAUGACUAAGAGUAUCCAUUUUUCCUCAUAUCAAUUUUAACCUUCUUGCUUUCUUGGGUGGAUUAUGCUGCUAUCAUUGUGAUUACUCUUGCUUCAUACCACGUUCAGGUGACUGGUGGGGUACUUGGAGACGGUCAGGUAUAUGCUAAAGAUGAGAUGGGAAAGGAGCGUAGCUACACUACAACGAAAAGGG